AUGAAACAUCACCCCGCAUCUUCCAGUAAAAGGGGGGAGACUGCUAAUGAGGGAACAGCAAGAAAACCUACCAGCAAAAAAAAGGGAACGGAUGGAGAAAAAAGAAAACAAGCUCACAAACGAAAGGGAGUCACUCAGACAGUCAAAAGGAAAACUAAGGAAGUUCUGACUAUGUUUACUUCACUUGAUGCCUUCUGUGCUUGGAGGCUUUCUGAUUUAAAAAACAAACAAACAAAAACAAACAAAAAACAAACUUUGCCUUUAUUUUCGUUCCAGAUCUAUUUUGCCCCAACAAAGUGGGGGAAAAGGAGAUUUUCAGAAAUACCUAAACUUGUUGAAAGAGAAGUAAGAAAUCAUCUUUUUGAGAGAAAAAGGAAUUUGGUUUACCCAGUUGUUCUGUGCCAUUGUCGGAGGAUUGCAUCUGGGAGCAUCACACUUGGAAAAACUUGGAAGAGAGUGUGGAUGCAAAAUCAAAGAGGGAGAUAUUGACAGUGGACAAGCAAGUGUUGUUGAAAGUAUCCAGACCCAUUUUAGCUACUUCUACAGAAGUAGCAGGACUAAGGAGGUAUUCUUAACAGCUCCUUUAAUAAGCGUUAUACUUAUUUAGGAGGGUUUAUGUUUGUUGGCAGCUAUUUAUUUUGUUAUAAUUUUAUGAUAGAGGCAGGAGCAGUGAGCUAAAUUUUCUUAAAUUCUAAUUCAUUUUGUGACUGUUGAAGUUAAUUCAAAGAGAAGUCAAAGGGGAAAAAAAAAUGUUAGGCCAUAACUUGAAGUCUUUUUAUGUCAUGGAAACAGUUGUUUGUGACUGAGAAUUUUUGUGUGUGUUGGUAUACCAUACCCUUAUGAAUAUCAGGCCUAAACCUGUAUGCUGCUUUUUUGGUCUUCCAGUAUAUCAAGAUAUGAACAUGAGCAGCUAUUUUUUUGUAACUUUUUUUUUUUUUUUUUUUUUUUUUUUUUUAUGCUUCACUUGUGAUGUGUCAGGUCUGAUUUCUGACUUGCCAAACUCCUCCUGCACCUCCAUAUCAAAUGUGUGUAAACUGUGACAGUUUGAUGUAUAUAACAGGAAGAUACUUGGACUUUAGCAAAGUAUUUGAUAUUGUUUCCUACAGUAAACAACU
RNAcentral lists this long non-coding RNA (1115 nucleotides) under Anas platyrhynchos platyrhynchos (common mallard). RNAcentral describes it as "lncRNA (ENSAPLG00000022631.1)". Lineage: Eukaryota; Metazoa; Chordata; Aves; Anseriformes; Anatidae. The record is from RNAcentral.